GAUGAACGCUGGCGGCGUGCUUAACACAUGCAAGUCGAACGAGAAGUGGAGACGGAAACCUUCGGGCGGAAGACUUUAUUUCGAGUGGCGGACGGGUGAGUAACGCGUGGGUAACCUGCCUCAUACAGGGGGAUAACAGUUGGAAACGACUGUUAAUACCGCAUAAGACCACAGCACCGCAUGGUGCGGGGGUAAAAACUCCGGUGGUAUGAGAUGGACCCGCGUUCGAUUAGCCAGUUGGCGGGGUAACGGCCCACCAAAGCGACGAUCGAUAGCCGAUCUGAGAGGCUGACCGGCCACAUUGGGACUGAGACACGGCCCAAACUCCUACGGGAGGCAGCAGUGGGGAAUAUUGCACAGUGGGGGAAGCCCUGAUGCAGCGACGCCGCGUGAGUGAAGAAGUAUUUCGGUAUGUAAAGCUCUAUCAGCAGGGAAGAAAAUGACGGUACCUGAGUAAGAAGCCCCGGCUAACUACGUG
This 478-nucleotide ribosomal RNA is filed under the name uncultured bacterium. RNAcentral's name for it is "partial 16S ribosomal RNA". It matches the Rfam family "Bacterial small subunit ribosomal RNA", at positions 28 to 507 of the family's 1533-position model. The record is from RNAcentral.